Molecule: long non-coding RNA, 274 nt
Filed under: Physcomitrium patens
Lineage: Eukaryota; Viridiplantae; Streptophyta; Bryopsida; Funariales; Funariaceae
Description: long non-coding RNA (PPAT_LNC004495)
Source: RNAcentral
GGUAGGUCUCUAGACGUUACAGAGAACCCCGAACAACCCAAACUGUUAAUCUUCAAUAUCGCUUUGUACUUACGAUCUUGUAUCCACUGACUGUCUUGUUAGAUUAACCCAAUAAAUUUCAUUCACUUCGCAUACUCAAUCCUAUAGACGCCCUUUUAAUCCUUCAAUCACAGACGUAACUCGAUUUCACAAAACAGUCAAGAGUAUUCAAACCCACUUCAUUAAAAAUCUCGAUUCACCAUUACAAUACUGACUUCAGCAGCGAUUGCCUCAG